This 426-nucleotide unclassified non-coding RNA is filed under the name plant metagenome. Its description in RNAcentral is "partial contains 5.8S ribosomal RNA, internal transcribed spacer 2, and large subunit ribosomal RNA". It matches the Rfam family "Bacterial small subunit ribosomal RNA", at positions 358 to 777 of the family's 1533-position model. The record is from RNAcentral.
GGAAUCUUCCGCAAUGGGCGAAUGCCUGACGGAGCAACGCCGCGUGAGUGAUGAAGGUUUUCGGAUCGUAAAGCUCUGUUGCCAGGGAAGAACGUCUUGUAGAGUAACUGCUACAAGAGUGACGGUACCUGAGAAGAAAGCCCCGGCUAACUACGUGCCAGCAGCCGCGGUAAUACGUAGGGGGCAAGCGUUGUCCGGAAUUAUUGGGCGUAAAGCGCGCGCAGGCGGCUCUUUAAGUCUGGUGUUUAAUCCCGAGGCUCAACUUCGGGUCGCACUGGAAACUGGAGAGCGUGAGUGCAGAAGAGGAGAGUGGAAUUCCACGUGUAGCGGUGAAAUGCGUAGAGAUGUGGAGGAACACCAGUGGCGAAGGCGACUCUCUGGGCUGUAACUGACGCUGAGGCGCGAAAGCGUGGGGAGCAAACAGGA